UUUUAAGUUAAAUUUUAAAAUAAUUUUGCAAAUUAUUUUUUUUCUUAAAGU
Molecule: transfer RNA, 51 nt
Filed under: Tetranychus kanzawai
Lineage: Eukaryota; Metazoa; Arthropoda; Arachnida; Trombidiformes; Tetranychidae
Also listed under: 1 other name
Description: tRNA-Ala
Source: RNAcentral